ACCUUGUGCUAUUUCCUGAAAUCUCUCCUGUCACUUCCCUCUAUUCAUUACAGAGCAAAAAUGUGGUUAAACCUUGUCUCUUUACUAGUAGUCCUCAAAGGAGUCCAGUCUCAAGUCCAGUUGGUGGAGUCUGGAGGGGAUGUGAGAAGGCCUGGAGAGUCCCUCCGUCUCUCCUGCCAAGCCUCUGGAUUCACCUUCAGCAGCUAUGACAUGCACUGGGUGAGACAGGCUCCAGGGAAAGGCCUGGAAUGGGUUGCACUCAUCUAUCAUGAUUCCAGUGGAAAGUUCUACUCAGACAAAGUGAAGGGACGGUUCACCAUCUCCAGGGACAAUGCCAAAAACCAGCUGUAUCUGCAAAUGAGCAGCCUCAAAGCUGAAGACACGGCCGUCUAUUACUGUACGAGAGACACAGUGAGAGGAAGUGAA
Molecule: non-coding RNA, 426 nt
Organism: Protobothrops mucrosquamatus (brown spotted pit viper)
Lineage: Eukaryota; Metazoa; Chordata; Lepidosauria; Squamata; Viperidae
Source: the annotation of a RefSeq genome assembly